Small nuclear RNA from Trichechus manatus latirostris (Florida manatee), 107 nucleotides. NCBI's taxonomy places the organism in Eukaryota, Metazoa, Chordata, Mammalia, Sirenia, Trichechidae. The record is from RefSeq and is a predicted model, not a curated record.
CUGCCUCGCGCUGGUGGCGGGUACAGGAAAAUUGGAACCUUGCGGGAAGAUUCGCGUGGCCCCUGCGCAAGGAUGACACGCGAGCUCGUGAAGCGUUGGAGCUUUUU